RNAcentral lists this ribosomal RNA (888 nucleotides) under Triticum aestivum (bread wheat). RNAcentral's name for it is "partial small subunit ribosomal RNA". The record is from RNAcentral. Lineage: Eukaryota; Viridiplantae; Streptophyta; Magnoliopsida; Poales; Poaceae.
AUGUACCUCCGGGCGAGGAUCAUCCAGAAACGCAAUUACCUGGAAUUCUCAUCAUCUGAUAUUGCAGAUUCAACUGUGGUCAACACUAUUUUCCCUAACUAUGCUAAUGGGAACGUGCGCAUAAAAUAUAACCACUUCAAUAGGUUUUGGAGGCUCAGCCCCAACUGGAUCUGGGCUGACUCGGCCGACACCAGCAGCAGAGACCGUGACACGCUCUUCAGGGUGGUCAUGUUGCCCGACUACAUCGGUCUCCAGAACCUGCGAAACUCCAGGUACUGCAAGAGGCUAACUGCCGACAAGAAGACAAGCUGCCUUAAUGCCGCCGUCGAUACCAUCACCCUUGAAGCAAGAUUACGGGUGGAAGAAGCCGUACUUUCGCGAGAGGUCUAUGGCGUGGAGUUCAAGCUCUCCGAAGCUAGGAUCUACGGCGAGAAGCCUCUUACCUUUCCCAGCAUGACUUCAACCAAUGACACCAAUGAAACACAUGCCAAAACCCUGACCCUGAAAUACGAGGAGACGCAGGCCAAGACCUGGAGCUCGACUGUUAGCCUCAAGAUCGGUGUCACGACCAAGUUAAGAGCCGGGAUCCCGGUCAUAGCAGAAGGGAAGGUUGAGGUAUCCACUGAAUUCAACUCAGAGUACGAGUGGGGGUCAUCCAUUCAGACAACGACGUCACAAGAGGCCUCCUACCAGGCUGUGGUGACUCCGAUGACCAAGGUGACAAUCAGAGCGGCUGCGACUCAGGGUUUUAUUGAUGUCCCGUUCUCCUACACUCAGAGGGACAUUCUGAUCACAGGAGAGGUUGUUACCUACAAGAUGGACGAUGGCCUGUUCACUGGUAUGAACAACUAUAAUUUUCAAUUUGAAGCCACACAAGAGCCCAUCUGA